RNAcentral lists this ribosomal RNA (340 nucleotides) under uncultured fungus. RNAcentral's name for it is "eukaryotic LSU rRNA". The stretch from base 1 to 154 matches the Rfam family "5.8S ribosomal RNA". The record is from RNAcentral. Lineage: Eukaryota; Fungi.
AACUUUCAACAACGGAUCUCUUGGUUCUGGCAUCGAUGAAGAACGCAGCGAAAUGCGAUAAGUAGUGUGAAUUGCAGAAUUCAGUGAAUCAUCGAAUCUUUGAACGCACAUUGCGCCCCUUGGUAUCCCGAGGGGCAUGCCUGUUCGAGCGUCAUUUCACCACUCAAGCCUGGCUUGGUGUUGGGCGACGUCCCCUUUGGGGACGCGCCUCGAAACGCUCGGCGGCGUGGCACCGGCUUUAAGCGUAGCAGAAUCUUUCGCUUUGAAAGUCGGGGCCCCGUCUGCCGGAAGACCUACUCGCAAGGUUGACCUCGGAUCAGGCAGGGAUACCCGCUGAACU